GGCAUCCCUGCUAUAAGCAAGUGGCAUGGUUGCCUGGGUGAAGAGUGUGUUUCAGCCCUGAGAUGGUUUGAGGUGAAGACCUAGAUUUUCAUUGAUCAGUCCUUUGAUUUUUCCAGUUAUCCUUGAAAUUGCUUUGUAUUAUGUUUUUUGGGAAAUGAGAUAUGCCCAGGAUUUUUUUUUCCCCAUCCUGGGGCUUGGACUCAGGGCCUGAGCACUG
This is a long non-coding RNA of Perognathus longimembris pacificus (Pacific pocket mouse), 217 nucleotides long. RefSeq lists it as uncharacterized. Lineage: Eukaryota; Metazoa; Chordata; Mammalia; Rodentia; Heteromyidae. The transcript has 3 exons. The record is from RefSeq and is a predicted model, not a curated record.